This 69-nucleotide transfer RNA is filed under the name Obrium sp. NS-2015. RNAcentral's name for it is "tRNA-Met". It matches the Rfam family "tRNA". From Rfam's summary of the family: Transfer RNA (tRNA) molecules are approximately 80 nucleotides in length. Lineage: Eukaryota; Metazoa; Arthropoda; Insecta; Coleoptera; Cerambycidae. The record is from RNAcentral.
AAAAAGAUAAGCUAAUCAAGCUACUGGGCUCAUACCCCACCUAUAGAGGUCCUAAUCCUCUUCUUUUUG